GACGAACGCUGGCGGCGUGCUUAACACAUGCAAGUCGAACGGAAAGGCCCUGCUUUUGUGGGGUGCUCGAGUGGCGAACGUGUGAGUAACACGUGAGUAACCUGCCCUUGACUUUGGGAUAACUUCAGGAAACUGGGUCUAAUACCGGAUAGGAUCUCCUGCUGCAUGGUGGUGGUUGGAAAGUUUCGGCGGUUGGGGAUGGACUCGAGGCUUAUCAUCUUUUUGGUGGGGUAGUGGCUUACCAAGGCUUUGACGGGUAGCCGGCCUGAGAGGGUGACCGGCAACAUGGGGAGUGAGAGACGGCACAGACGCAUACGGGAGGGAGGAGGGGGGAAUAGGGCACAAUGGGCGGAAGCGUGAUGCAGAAACGGCGCGGGCGGGAUGAGGGCCUUCGGGUUGUAAACCGAUUGCGAGGGUGAAGAAGAGUGAGUGACGGUAAUGGGUAAAGAAGCACCGGCUAACUACGUG
Molecule: ribosomal RNA, 468 nt
Filed under: uncultured bacterium
Lineage: Bacteria
Description: partial 16S ribosomal RNA
Rfam family: Bacterial small subunit ribosomal RNA
Source: RNAcentral